Triticum urartu is the source of this 135-nucleotide non-coding RNA. The record is from Rfam. NCBI's taxonomy places the organism in Eukaryota, Viridiplantae, Streptophyta, Magnoliopsida, Poales, Poaceae.
AAUAUACUCCCUCCGUCCCAAAAUUCUUGUUUUAGAUUUGUCUAAAUAUGGAUGUAUCAAGUCACAUUUUAGUAUUAGAUACAUCCGUAUCUAGACAAAUCUAAGACAAGAAUUUUGGGACGGAGGGAGUAGAUA